CAGCAGCCACGGGAAUACGAAGGGGGCUAGCGUUGUUCGGAUUUACUGGGCGUAAAGCGCACGUAGGCGGAUCGAUCAGUCAGGGGUGAAAUCCUGGAGCUCAACUCCAGAACUGCCUUUGAUACUGUCGAUCUCGAGUCCGGAAGAGGUGAGUGGAACUCCUAGUGUAGAGGUGGAAUUCGUAGAUAUUAGGAAGAACACCAGUGGCGAAGGCGGCUCACUGGUCCGGUACUGACGCUGAGGUGCGAAAGCGUGGGGAGCAAACAGGAUUAGAUACCCCAGUAGUCCCUGUCUCUUAUAC
This 301-nucleotide ribosomal RNA is filed under the name uncultured bacterium. Its description in RNAcentral is "partial 16S ribosomal RNA". It matches the Rfam family "Bacterial small subunit ribosomal RNA", at positions 509 to 807 of the family's 1533-position model. The record is from RNAcentral.